This 473-nucleotide long non-coding RNA is filed under the name Setaria viridis. Its description in RNAcentral is "long non-coding RNA (SVIR_LNC003290)". The record is from RNAcentral. Lineage: Eukaryota; Viridiplantae; Streptophyta; Magnoliopsida; Poales; Poaceae.
GAGCGACAAGGCACGACUCAUAAUCUUGGGUAAGGAAUGGUGGCUUCAUCCCAGGCCAAUAAACGAAUCUACCUUGCGGAGUUGAAGUAAUUACCAAGCCUUGAGCUGGGCCUGAUAAAGGGAUCUCCUGGAUGGAGUCCGAGUUGUAGUCGCAGUCCUCAACUGUCUCUAGUCUGGGUUGGACUCGAGUAAGGAAUUCUUAGUGGAUCAUGGCUGUGUUGUGGAGUUUGAGUGGGAGUCGACUUCGGGUCGGAGUCGGUUUGUGUGAUGACUUAGACGCCAGCCGGUGUUUGCUAGUCUGAGCCGUAGUUGAACUCAAUGUUGUUGACAUUGAAAUUUUGGAUUUUCUCGAUGAAAUCCUCUGCUUCUUGAUGAAGAAAGUUUUCACAGAGACACUUCUUUUCCUAGUUGCUGAUGAUGCAGCGUUGAAAGGAUCCAGCACCGUCAGCAAUGCAAAGUCAGGAGCAGAAAAU